CAGAGGGAUACGCGGGAUCUCUCAUCAAAAGAGCUUCUUUUGGGGGCAAACAUAUGCUCUGCAUAAUGCCCCUCCAAGAUGAGUUGGAUUUAACACUGUUGCCUGCAGAUUCACCUGAAUUUGCUCUUAUGCCAAAAGCAGCUUGUAAGAAAUGCAAUGCUUCAAUGCCUCUGCAAAUGCUGACUUUGCACAUUGAACAAUGCAGUGAAUUAUCAAGCUCUGAUAGUGAGAACACAGAUGUGAUGUACAUAGAGAACACUGAAUCAAGUUCAGCAUCUACUACCACAGUAGCAUGCUCAGAAACACCCGGGCCCACUGAUCAGCAUCAUUCUCAUAUGACAGAUGAAAUUAAAUGUCCAUUAUGCAACAAACUGUUUCCCUUGUUAGACAUUGAAGUACAUGCCAGCUGCUGUAGAG
This is a non-coding RNA of Poecilia reticulata (guppy), 417 nucleotides long. NCBI's taxonomy places the organism in Eukaryota, Metazoa, Chordata, Actinopteri, Cyprinodontiformes, Poeciliidae. The record is from RefSeq and is a predicted model, not a curated record.